This 358-nucleotide long non-coding RNA is filed under the name Olea europaea (common olive). RNAcentral's name for it is "long non-coding RNA (OEUR_LNC014913)". The record is from RNAcentral. Lineage: Eukaryota; Viridiplantae; Streptophyta; Magnoliopsida; Lamiales; Oleaceae.
AUAAAAUAAUAUUACACGUAAAUCUAAAACUUUUCCUUAUUUUUUAACCACAUAAUUCCCAUUGAUUUGACAUAAAUAAUACAUUUUUUUCCUAUAAUGUGACUCAAACAUGGGCAUGGUAAUAUAAAAUAUAUGCUAUUGUGUACCAGAUUUUUUUCUAUCUUUUAUUCUUCAAUUUUGUUAAUAUUUGUACAGAUUGAUCUGCCAGUUGGUUUUAAAAUUCCCCAACAGAAUUAACUUCCAAACUAUUAUCGAUAACGGAUCCAUGUUGCAAACUACUCUGAUCAUCCUCAUAUUAAUUGGGAUCAGCAUUUCAAGCAUUUGUCUUAUUAGAUAUCUGAACAUUUCCUAGCGUUCU